This 468-nucleotide ribosomal RNA is filed under the name uncultured bacterium. Its description in RNAcentral is "partial 16S ribosomal RNA". It matches the Rfam family "Bacterial small subunit ribosomal RNA", at positions 28 to 507 of the family's 1533-position model. The record is from RNAcentral.
GACGAACGCUGGCGGCGUGCUUAACACAUGCAAGUCGAACGGAAAGGCCCUGCUUUUGUGGGGUGCUCGAGUGGCGAACGGGUGAGUAACACGUGAGUAACCUGCCCUUGACUUUGGGAUAACUUCAGGAAACUGGGGCUAAUACCGGAUAGGAGCUCCUGCUGCAUGGUGGGGGUUGGAAAGUUUCGGCGGUUGGGGCUGGACUCGCGGCUUAUCAGCUUGUUGGUGGGGUAGUGGCUGACCAAGGCUUUGACGGGUAGCCGGCCUGAGAGGGGGACCGGCCACAUUGGGACUGAGAUACGGCCCAGACUCCUACGGGAGGCAGCAGGGGGGAAUAUUGCACAAUGGGCGGAAGCCUGAUGCAGCAACGCCGCGUGCGGGAUGACGGCCUUCGGGUUGUAAACCGCUUUCGCCUGUGACGAAGCGUGAGUGACGGUAAUGGGUAAAGAAGCACCGGCUAACUACGUG